This 1964-nucleotide long non-coding RNA is filed under the name Nicotiana benthamiana. RNAcentral's name for it is "long non-coding RNA (NBEN_LNC013903)". Lineage: Eukaryota; Viridiplantae; Streptophyta; Magnoliopsida; Solanales; Solanaceae. The record is from RNAcentral.
AGCCUACAAAGAUGAACAAUACACUUUAAGUUAAAGAGGAAUGCGCUGAGGGCAGAAGGAAUUGAAAUGAUUUACCUUUUGAUAACUAUUUCGUGUAACAAAUCAGGGACAUUCCAACUAGAGACUUGGGUAUUACCCCUCCAAAAAAGGAAAGAAAGUAUGAAAAGAGAUGACUCCCAAAUAAGUUACUUUACACUAAAAGAAAUAACAAUAAUGGCCUAGGUACUCAACCUGUUUAAAAAUUGACACAAGUCUAUAAGUUUUUCCAUCAAAAUCAAACAAGGAUGUAAUGUCACACGAGAGUUAAUCUUAAUCUUCAUUCCACAAGACCUUCCUAUAUACAUCACCAGAGGAAAGUCCAUGAUAAGAUCUCCACUCAAAAACUUACCAACUCAAGCCAUUCUUUUCAGUCACAUGAAAGCGGCAUUGCAGACUUCCAAAUAAGUUAAUUUACACUAAAGAAAGAACCACAACUGCGUAGGUCCUCAACCUGGAUAAAACUUAACAUAAGUCUACAAGGUUUCCCUUCAAAAUCAAACAAGAAUGUAAUGUCACAAGAAAUUUCAUUCUAAUUUUCAUUUUAGAGGACUGUCUUCCAAUAACAAGUGCACUCUCUGUCUAUAUCCACUCAUACAUCACCAGAGAAAAAUCCAUGAUAAGGUCACACUCAAAAACUUACCAAUAUUAGACAUGUUAAUCAGUUCAUCUCUAUGCAGAGGCGGAUUCAGGAUUUAAACUUUAUGGGUUCAUAUUCGCAAUUCUACCACAUUUCAGCUAAUAUAAUGGGUUCAAAAUUUAUUAUUUGUAUAUAUAUUAAGGUGGAUCCAAGAUUUAAACUUUAUGGCUUCAAAUUCGCAAUUCUACCACAUCUCAUCUAAUAUAAUGGAUUCAACAUUUAUUAUUUCUACAUAUUUAAUAAUUUUUUGGACAGGGAAUGAGCGAAAGCUAUGGGUUACGAUGAACCCAUAGCUUUUACACUGGAUACAGCUUUGUCUCUAUGCUUUACUACCUCAAUAUUAAUAGGCUUAAAGGGAUAUCUACCAAAUUCCAAAGUAAACGAAGAGUAAUAUAAUGGCAAAAUACAUAGUUUACCCAUCGACUUUGUACCCAAAUAACUCCUACACACUUGUUCACCACGGGAACAAUAUUACACACUCAAUCUUUCAAAAGUGUGUCAAUAACACACCACUUUUGACCAGUCCAAGUAAUAGUCUAUGCUGUGUAUCACACGCGCUUCUCUAAAUUAAAGGACUCUUUUAAUCACCCAACCCGUUUAAAGAUCCGACCCACUCAAAUAAAAAAAGCCAACAAAGUGCACCACCUUCCCUACUACUGCACCAUCUUCUCCACCAUUGCAAACCCUUCUUUGUAAAAAAAAUAUUCUACCAUAGUUACCACAAAAAUAUUAGUUGUAACGCCCAAAUAGAUACACAGAAAUAACAUAUCCAAAAAAACUUCACUGGCCGGAAUUUCGCCUGAAACUCCAUCUCCGAUCAACCCUUCAUUUUGGUAUUAUCUCUUCUUUUUCACAAAACUCAAUAAUGGUAAGCCAGAAGAAAAUAACGAAAAGGAAAAAUUUUAGUUCUUUAUUUGGCACACUUGAAAGAACCAAAAAAAUCACUUUGUCAACAAAAUUCCAAAACAAGAAAUUGAAAACUUAAUAUCUUCUGCAAUUCUUGCCAUCUCAGUGACAUAACUACCACCAAGAAAUUUUUGGAGAAAUUUUGAAUCUUGAGCAACCAAAAGAAAAUGAAAUAGGAGAAGGUUGAAUCGGCGAAUAAGACGAAAUAGGGGGAGGGGAGAUGAAACCUGGGGGUGGGGAACUAGGAAGAAGACGUGAGGUGGGGGAUUGGGGCGUGGAAGAAGACAAGAGUGGGAGGGGUUAUUUUUUAUUUUUUAAAUUUGUUAACUGGAGUAAAAAGGGAAAAAAACUUAAAAAUUAGACACAUGGAUUCUUAAUAAAC